RNAcentral lists this ribosomal RNA (467 nucleotides) under uncultured bacterium. Its description in RNAcentral is "partial 16S ribosomal RNA". It matches the Rfam family "Bacterial small subunit ribosomal RNA", at positions 28 to 507 of the family's 1533-position model. The record is from RNAcentral.
GAUGAACGCUGGCGGCGUGCUUAACACAUGCAAGUCGAACGGAAAGGCCCAAGCUUGCUUGGGUACUCGAGUGGCGAACGGGUGAGUAACACGUGGGUGAUCUGCCCUGCACUUCGGGAUAAGCCUGGGAAACUGGGUCUAAUACCGGAUAGGACCACUUCUUGGAUGUUGUGGUGGAAAGUUUUUUCGGUGUGGGAUGAGCUCGCGGCCUAUCAGCUUGUUGGUGGGGUAAUGGCCUACCAAGGCGUCGACGGGUAGCCGGCCUGAGAGGGUGUACGGCCACAUUGGGACUGAGAGACGGCCCAGACUCCUACGGGGGGCAGCAGUGGGGAAUAUUGCACAAUGGGCGCAAGCCUGAUGCAGCGACGCCGCGUGGGGGAUGACGGCCUUCGGGUUGUAAACUCCUUUCGCUAGGGACGAAGCGUUUUGUGACGGUACCUGGAGAAGAAGCACCGGCUAACUACGUG